RNAcentral lists this long non-coding RNA (310 nucleotides) under Populus tremula. Its description in RNAcentral is "long non-coding RNA (PTRE_LNC000387)". Lineage: Eukaryota; Viridiplantae; Streptophyta; Magnoliopsida; Malpighiales; Salicaceae. The record is from RNAcentral.
UUUACUAUUCAAUCAACAAACAAUUUAGUUUUGAAGUGUAAUUACUUGACUCAAAGAUACUUACUUCAAAUAAUUUUUAUUUUAUUUUAUGUAUUUAUAUUAAAAAUAAAUUUUAAAAAAUAAAAAAUAUUUUGAAAACAUUUGUUGGCACAGUAGCCUUAUUCACCAAUAAAGCAAGGUGUUCUUCGGCUGCAAUGAAAAGUUAGGAAGCUCACCGAUUAUUCCAUAUGAAAGGGAUCGUUUUCUCCAUUUAUUUUUGCAAGUUGAAAUUCUAUUCUUUCGUGUAGACUAAGAUAAAGUAGUGUGGUUG